UUUUUUGGCAAUGGAGGGGAGGUCUACAUCGCCUGGCCUCGUGUCCAGCAUAAAAGCUAUAAGAGCAAAAAGAACGCCGCUAUGUCCCCAGCGUAGGUCUACGCAGGAAAGUGAGAAGGAAAAAACGCACUGCAAUCAGCGCGGUGGUUGGAGAAUCUACGCUUGGGAAUGUCCCCACUAAAAUAAAAAUUUAUCGACUCUCCCAAUACAUGACAUCUUGGUAGCGGAUCUAAAAACAAACAAAAAACCGGAACGAAAAUACAAACGAAAACACACAAGAAAAAACUGUACCGGGAAAGCAUCAGCGCGCUUAUGAGGCAGCAAUUUUCAAACCUUCUAGACAGCUCAUUAUAGUUAAACCAGCAGCCGUGUUAUGAAUUCGAUUCCAUCCUGGCGCGACUAAAGCCGAAACGUAAACAAACACCGAAAGGAUUUUGAUGUCCUACGUCACGAACUCUGGUCAACACAUCAACUGUCGAAAUUAGAGACUAUAAUUGAUCAACGGAAUUACGGUUCACUCCAACGAAAAUUCGAUACUGUGAGAUAAUAGACGUCGGAAUAAAUCAAGCUUCAUAUCA
This is a long non-coding RNA of Venturia canescens, 578 nucleotides long. RefSeq lists it as uncharacterized. Lineage: Eukaryota; Metazoa; Arthropoda; Insecta; Hymenoptera; Ichneumonidae. The transcript has 2 exons. The record is from RefSeq and is a predicted model, not a curated record.